AACGCUAGCUACAGGCUUAACACAUGCAAGUCGAGGGGUAGCAGGGUAGCAAUACCGCUGACGACCGGCGCACGGGUGAGUAACACGUAUCCAACCUUCCCAUAACUCGGGGAUAGCCUUUCGAAAGAAAGAUUAAUACCCGAUAGUACUUAAGAAAGGCAUCUUUUUUAAGUUAAAGAUUUAUUGGUUAUGGAUGGGGAUGCGUUCCAUUAGAUAGUUGGUGAGGUAACGGCUCACCAAGUCUUCGAUGGAUAGGGGUUCUGAGAGGAAGGUCCCCCACAUUGGUACUGAGACACGGACCAAACUCCUACGGGAGGCAGCAGCGAGGAAUAUUGGUCAAUGGGCGAGAGCCUGAACCAGCCAAGUAGCGUGAAGGAUGAAGGUCCUAUGGAUUGUAAACUUCUUUUAUAGUAGAAUAAAGUGAUCCACGUGUGGAUUUUUGUAUGUAUACUAUGAAUAAGGAUCGGCUAACUCCGUGCCAGCAGCCGCGGUAAUACGGAGGAUCCGAGCGUUAUCCGGAUUUAUUGGGUUUAAAGGGUGCGUAGGCGGAAUAAUAAGUCAGUUGUGAAAGUUUGCGGCUCAACCGUAAAAUUGCAGUUGAUACUGUUAUUCUUGAGUGUACAUAAGGUAGGCGGAAUUCGUGGUGUAGCGGUGAAAUGCUUAGAUAUCACGAAGAACUCCGAUUG
This 686-nucleotide ribosomal RNA is filed under the name uncultured bacterium. RNAcentral's name for it is "bacterial SSU rRNA". It matches the Rfam family "Bacterial small subunit ribosomal RNA", at positions 32 to 715 of the family's 1533-position model. The record is from RNAcentral.